Molecule: long non-coding RNA, 226 nt
Filed under: Lathyrus oleraceus (garden pea)
Lineage: Eukaryota; Viridiplantae; Streptophyta; Magnoliopsida; Fabales; Fabaceae
Description: Pisum sativum (pea) long non-coding RNA (PSAT_LNC016144)
Source: RNAcentral
UCUUCAACACACAAAAGGGGGGAACCAUCAAUCAGAGGAAGAAGUAUCACCUUCACCUUCAGAGCUUUCAGAGUUGCCACUGGAUUGAGCGUUUGAUCUCUCACUUGAAGUAUUUGCAUUUGAGUCUUUGGUCUCACCAGCCUUCUCCACCUCUUCCUUCUCUAGGCCACGAAUAAGAGCCUCCAAGGCCUCUUUUCUUGCUUUGGCAACCCUAAUACCAUUCUCC